Molecule: ribosomal RNA, 214 nt
Filed under: Prasinoderma coloniale
Lineage: Eukaryota; Viridiplantae; Prasinodermophyta; Prasinodermophyceae; Prasinodermales; Prasinodermaceae
Description: partial Eukaryotic large subunit ribosomal RNA
Rfam family: Eukaryotic large subunit ribosomal RNA
Source: RNAcentral
GAGAAAGGUUCCAUGUGAACAGCAAUUGGACAUGGGUUAGUCGAUCCUAAGAGAUAGGGAAACUCCGUAUCAAAGUGCGCGAUUCAUCGCGCCGCCUAUCGAAAGGGAAUCAGGUUAAUAUUCCUGAACCAGGACGUGGAUAUUGUAUGGUAACAUAAGUGAACUCGGAGACGUCGGCAGUGAGCCCGGGAAGAGUUAUCUUUCUUUUUAACAG